Long non-coding RNA from Scleropages formosus (Asian bonytongue), 769 nucleotides. RefSeq lists it as uncharacterized. The record is from RefSeq and is a predicted model, not a curated record. Lineage: Eukaryota; Metazoa; Chordata; Actinopteri; Osteoglossiformes; Osteoglossidae. The transcript has 3 exons.
GCACCUCCCACAUUUUUCCUGUUUCUUUCUCGGCACUUCCCGUUGUUUUCCUCGACUCUUUUAACGUGGGCGAGCGAGCAGGACUCGCCUUCCUGGGCUCCCCAGCGACUCGUUCUGUUUGCGGCUUCGGUCCAGCUGAUGAAAGACCCCCCAAGGUCUCCGAGCGUCCCACAGUGCCCCCUGCUGGUAGCCCAUGUCAGCCGAUGGGGCUCAGGAUGCUCCACUUCUGGAAAAAGCUUUUGGACUCCUGACCAGAAGAGGCGCUGCACGCCCCGGCUUUGCAGUGCUCCCGAAACAUGGAGGACCCCCAGCAGUGUGUGCAAACAACCCUACCUGCCCCGCCCCUUGCCAACCGUCAGGGAUGGAAUUUGCCGGAACGAUGGGUUGAAAGAUGACCCAGAGAACUGUUUCUGACAGCAUCGCUUCUCCAUCCGGUCAAGACGUGAUCGGGGACAGCGCGCCCUGUGGCCACCGCGGGUCCCUGCUCCCCUACUGCUCCCUCUCGGGGGGAGCGCAGCUCGUCCGUGCGCUUGCGUGUGCGCUUGCGUGCGCACGUGUGUGUGCUCGCACGUCACCUGCAGAAAAGGACACCGCUGCGGGGUGAACGUGGUGCAAAGGCCACGCGCCCGUGUCCGAGAGGCCCGGUGUCCGAUUUCCACAGACGGAGGCGGCCUGGGGGCUCCCGCUCUCCCACAUGCACUCGUGGGGAGUUAAUUAGGGGACACACCUGUGCGGCUUAUCUGUACCGCGGUAUUCAUUAAAGCACUUC